ACAUGCAAGUCGAGCGGUAGAGAGAAGCUUGCUUCUCUUGAGAGCGGCGGACGGGUGAGUAAUGCCUAGGAAUCUGCCUGGUAGUGGGGGAUAACGUUCGGAAACGGACGCUAAUACCGCAUACGUCCUACGGGAGAAAGCAGGGGACCUUCGGGCCUUGCGCUAUCAGAUGAGCCUAGGUCGGAUUAGCUAGUUGGUGAGGUAAUGGCUCACCAAGGCGACGAUCCGUAACUGGUCUGAGAGGAUGAUCAGUCACACUGGAACUGAGACACGGUCCAGACUCCUACGGGAGGCAGCAGUGGGGAAUAUUGGACAAUGGGCGAAAGCCUGAUCCAGCCAUGCCGCGUGUGUGAAGAAGGUCUUCGGAUUGUAAAGCACUUUAAGUUGGGAGGAAGGGCAGUUACCUAAUACGUGAUUGUUUUGACGUUACCGACAGAAUAAGCACCGGCUAACUCUGUG
Molecule: ribosomal RNA, 459 nt
Filed under: Pseudomonas sp. UA-JF2002
Lineage: Bacteria; Pseudomonadati; Pseudomonadota; Gammaproteobacteria; Pseudomonadales; Pseudomonadaceae
Description: bacterial SSU rRNA
Rfam family: Bacterial small subunit ribosomal RNA
Source: RNAcentral